GACUAUAGGUUGAGGAGGAAUUGGAAGUUUGUCGGCUUAGACCUGGUGUCAUUCCAUCAGUGUUAAAUUUCCCGGCUCAUCUUGGAAGAGUACGUGCCAGAAAGACCACAACCAAGCAGCCUUGAGAUCUUAGGCAGUGUCUCCCUGAGAUCCACCAACCACUGGAACACAUCUCCAAAGUUCUGCCUGGCCAGCUCAGCUUCCCCUCAGAAGAAGUGCCACCACCUGCCAGAUGAAGGAGCCUUUUGAGAGGCAGCUGGCAUCGUGAUUGGACUGUACUUUGGUCUGUUCCAAUCCAGCUUCAGCUCCAGAGACGGCAGGCGGGACGAGUCAACGGAGGCCGGGUGGACGAAGGCAUGCAGCUGAGUACAAUCUAGAAAACAACAGAGGAGGAGUGCAGCAGCCCAGAGCCAGAACAAACAGAGUAGCAUCGUAUGUCUCUUAGAAAACAUCAUAGUAUAGCCUUUGGUAUGAAAAAACGCCAUCAUAUACAUCGUAUAUUGUACAAAUAACAAGUCAAAGCAAAGAGACAUACAUUGUAGAAUUGUAGUAAUUGUGGGCUGACUGAUUUACUGAUUAUCAGUAUUUUAUUUUUUACUGAUUUACGGUAAUAAAUACAUUUAAAAAUGGC
This is a long non-coding RNA of Amphiprion ocellaris (clown anemonefish), 631 nucleotides long. RefSeq lists it as uncharacterized. Lineage: Eukaryota; Metazoa; Chordata; Actinopteri; Pomacentridae. The record is from RefSeq and is a predicted model, not a curated record. The transcript is spliced from 2 exons.